AUACGGAGGAUCCGAGCGUUAUCCGGAUUUAUUAGGUUUAAAGGGUGCGCAGGCGGAACUGUAAGUCACCGGUGAAAUCCUACAGCAUAACUGUAGAACUGCCGGUGAUACUGCGAUUCUUGAGUAUAGUUGAGGUAGGCGGAAUGUGUAGUGUAGCGGUGAAAUGCAUAGAUAUUACACAGAACACCGAUUGCGAAGGCAGCUUACUAAACUAUUACUGACGCUCAUGCACGAAAGCGUGGGGAGCGAACAGGAUUAGAUACCCCAGUAGUCC
Molecule: ribosomal RNA, 274 nt
Filed under: uncultured bacterium
Lineage: Bacteria
Description: partial 16S ribosomal RNA
Rfam family: Bacterial small subunit ribosomal RNA
Source: RNAcentral